Molecule: ribosomal RNA, 253 nt
Filed under: uncultured bacterium
Lineage: Bacteria
Description: partial 16S ribosomal RNA
Rfam family: Bacterial small subunit ribosomal RNA
Source: RNAcentral
UACAGAGGGUGCGAGCGUUAAUCGGAGUUACUGGGCGUAAAGGGCGCGUAGGCGGUAGGAUGGGUGUGGUGUGAAAGCCCCGGGCUUAACCUGGGAAGGGCACUGCAAACUAUGUUACUGGAGUACAUGAGAGGGUGGCGGAAUUUCCGGUGUAGCGGUGAAAUGCGUAGAGAUCGGAAGGAAUGUCGAUGGCGAAGGCAGCCACCUGGCAUGAUACUGACGCUGAGGCACGAAAGCGUGGGGAGCAAACAGG